AUAGAUCGGUUGGGAAUUCUUUAAAAAUGAAUGGAAUACAAAUGUUUAAAAAAUGAAAAAAAAGGGGAAAACGUGUGGCUGUGGGCAAUGAAGUAGACGUGUAAAUAACAACGAAAGAGAAUACGACGAGAGCAGGUUCUGGACUGCAAUGCCCGAAGCGUAGGAGUUAAAGUGAGGAAUCAAGGGAAAUGCCUCUCUUCAACGCGAACUAGGCGCGUCUCCUCGGCCAUGUUACCUCCAUGACACUAGUGAGUGACUGCACGAACGGAGGAGGCGCACGGCACGGCGCACCGCACCGAGAGGCCAGCCCGCUAGCCGCUAGCCCCUAGCCGCCAACCGCCAACCGCCAGCCACCAGCCACCAGUCCAACACCAGCCGCUCAUUCUGUGAAUGGGUUUUCACCCCAGUGCCGUAACAACUUUCAAAUUUACACGUGUAGUACGCCCCACAGGGCCCUCUCACACUUUCUUUGCCACACCACAACAAUCCAUCUUUUUUGGUUUAAAAAAGAAUAACAAAAUUUUAAAUCGAAAUUUUUUCAUGUAAAUUUCACCCGAAUGUUAAUUUUGUUAUCCAUCAUUUUCGUUGUUCGGAAAAUUUCAUAAUUUGGCUGGUAAUUAUGGGGAAGGUUUUGUUUAUGUCGAAAGGGGAGAGACUAUCGUUUUUUUUUUGAUUGUAUAAUUUUGGCUGGAAAUGUAGAAUGUUGUGAAACGUGAAUAUACGGAAUUUUCAGUGAAUGUGAGUGCAUCUUCGAUUUUUGAAGGAGAGGCCGUAAAAAUAGUAAAGUUCACGCUGGAAAUCUGAAAUAUCGAGAAUGAUAUACUUUUUUCAAAAUGAACCAAUUUUUUAGAAAAUCGUUCUUUCAGAUAUCUCACAAACUACUUAUUUUUUCUUCUUUUUCUUUUCAUCCUCGUGUCAUAAAAACUCUUCUGUUUCACCAAUUUUUAUGGUAAAUAGUGUCGAAUCUCAUGACAUGUGGAGAAAUAGGAUUUUUAGGGUCAUGAGGGUAUGUAUGUACGAUUACUUUUGUUUUUACUUUUGAAUUUUCAGCCAAUUCAACACAAAUACAGAAAAAUUUCUGUAUAAAAGUCUGGAAUGUAGGUCUGUCACAGCUAUAUAUAUGACUUUUUAAACUUUCAUCUUUGCUGGUUUGUUUAUUUUUCCUGUUUCAAUCGCAGUUGCUCUAUUAAAAGUGAUUGUUCUAAUAACUGACACCAAUUUGCAUCAUCUCCACGAAGCUGUUCUCUCACAGCGUCCUACCUAUUCUAAUACAUCCAACAACAUAUUAAAACUCAAUUCAUCUAUACAUUUCCUUGAUUCACUCCUAGAUGCAAUUCACUCGAAUAUUUUCUCAUCUCCAAUUUGUAAUUCAUAAUUUCUCAUAAAACAUCGUUUUGCAAAGGUAUGACAAAAUAUUAUAUUUAAUAUAUUCAUAUUCAUAUUUUUCAUGUUUAGUUAUUGUAUUUAUUUAAAUUAUUUGUUGCUGAUUGCAUUUUCAAAGGAUAUGAGGGUCCCUUUCCAUUUGAAGUUACGAAUGUGUUGGAUAAAAUGAUAAAAUAUCCAGCGAAAUAUCCCCAUGCAUUUUAUAACCCACAUCUUAUCUCAGAGAGCCAAUUUAUAUGUUCGCUCUUGGUCACACAUGCGGAAUUGUGCGUGUUGGUAUGUACGAGUUUAAACUCGUCGCGUGUACUUCCUGAAUGGUGCAAUGGUCCGUUUCCUCCUAUUAUCUUAAAAAUUUUCAACCCCUUCCUCCCAUGAAAAACUUAUUUCCCCCAGUUAUCAUUAAUCGUCUUACUCAUGGAAAAUGAUGAGAGGAUUUUUUUUUCCCUGCAAAUUGUAAUGUCAUAGUUUGCUCGUUCAGAGAAAGAAAUACAGAGUAUCGAAGGGGGGAGCAGUUGACGGCAUGAAGAUAAAAAAUAUGAAUGAAUAGCGUGACGGUGUACGUGUGAGCUUAACCGACAACCGUUGUUUGUCAUUCAGCACAUGUUGAGUGUGUACUACAAUUAACUCAACUUUCUGGCGCAUGCGUCAUAAAAUAUACGAGAUACUGCUCCUACCGAAAUUAUAUAUACAUUUUAUUAUUUUCCUUGACACGCUACUGCAUAAGGAUGUUCGACAACUUUUUAAGAGACAUUCAAGGUUUUUUUUUAUUUGUCUGGCGAAUUAUUGAUGGGACUGAAGAGAAAAAAUAUAAAACUUUUGCUUUUUGUCGUUGUUUAAUUGCUUACGAAGUUUCGCGAUGGUGCGAUUAUUUUCACGUGAUUUUUAUAUUUUGUCAUUCUUUUUGAAGGUUUAGAAAGAGUGCAGGAAAAUGUUCGCACCACUUUGAAUUUUGGUGAGCUAUUAAAUAAUGAGAUCAUGAGAAAACGUAAAAGUUAUAUUUCACGUCAAUCCCAUCAAUAAUUUUCAGAAAAAUAUCAAAAACGUGAAUUUUGGAGGAAAGGGUUUAGAACAACCAUAAGUACUAAUUAUUGACAAAUUAUUUUCAUCUCCAUCUGUUCUAAACUCAAUGAUAAGAAUCACGAAAGAUUGGAGAAAAAAAUUAUAACGCUAAUUAUUUUCCUGGUGUAUAAAAUUCUGUAAAGUGUGUACUUCAAUUUUCCAGAGUCUGGAGAAGCUAAAAUAUUCAUAAUUAAUUAAUAUAAUAUAAUGAGUGAGCUUUGUCAAUGUUUUCUCUCCAAUGUUCCGUAAUUCCUGAAAUCGGGUACUAAUUAUUCCUCAAAAUUCAUUUGACCACCUUGUUGUGUUUGCACAUACAUUACUGGUGGAACAUUUUCUCAAUUCAUUCAUUCACUUUCUUCUGGUAGCAACUCAUUAGAAUAUUUAUUGUAGAGGAAAGGAGUGAGUUUAAACUUGCUCCACAUACACAUGUACAUAGUACGUUCAAUGAGUUUUACGGUAUUGGUCUGCACUCGUUCAUCAGUCGUUUCAUUCGCGAUUAAUAUGUUAAUCGGUCGUGCGUAUCAAUGGCUUUAAUCAAUAUUCAUUCAUUCAAGUGUGAAUUCAUGUGUGUAAGUAUGUUCCUUGUAUUUUUAAUAGUUAAUAAAUGGGUGUGUUAACUCCGAUGGAGAAAUUGUGCGUAAUAAUUAUUUGUUUAAUAAAUAUUAUAGAUAUGCUGCAGGAUUUGUCCGUCCUUUAUUUGAAUUCUAUUUGAUGUGUGGUAUUUUCGAUUUUUUAAUGAAAUUUAUGCAGGAAAAUGUGAGUUCACAUUCACGAAUUGAAAAUUUUUCUUUUUUAGCUAGGCGAGGCAACCCAGGAAAUAAUUCAAAUGCUUAGUGAUACAUGAAACAUCGGUUUCAAGAACUGCACAAUGAGUGGGCAUCGAAAUUGCUAUUUGUUGAAACAAACCUAGAUGAAUUUUAGUAGAUGUGGAAGCAUUUCAUCAUUGGAAAUUUAAAUAAGAGUCAAAAUUUCUUACCGAUACUAAAAUUCCUCAAAAUCUAUGAAGAAAAAUCGGCACAAGAUUUAAGUUAACUUCAUUUCGUCGUUUUUUCGAAAGAUUUUAAAAUUCUCAAUUUUUAGGCUUAUAGAUUGUGAUUACCGUUAUGUACAACGCCAUUUUCUGCUUGACAUUGUUCUAAGGAGUAAUUGCUGAUAUCUUUUCAUUUUUAAUGGUUCUUGAAAAUUCAAGGGAAACCUUGGAUUAAAUUGGCGUGGAAAAAUAUACCGUUUUUACGUUUUAUCAUUAUUCAAUGAGUCGCAAAUUUUCAUAGCCGCACAUUUAUUUUAUUCUUUUAUCUUUUAUCUUUUAUAUUCUUUUUGGUGAAGUUUUGCGAAUUAUUGCAAAAAAUUACUGAGAACGCGGAAAAUUCUUCUACAAUAAUACAACUUAAAAACGAUAUAUUUUUUAGUGUCAUUUUUGUCAACCGUUUCUCCGCAAUUUAUAAAAAAGGAAAAAUAGGAAAUAUCGGUAAUAACUCGUUAAUUUUCCCUUCCAGAACCUUUGAAAAUUGUCAAAAUUAACGAGAAUACUAGAAAGUGUAUUAAAUUUUCAUUGUCGAUUACGUUUGAUGCCAACUGUAAGAAUAACAUGGAAAAAUAGUUCAUCAGAUUGCAGCAAUUGAGUCAAGAAUAAAGUGUAAUUGAGAUAUCUCAAUCAUCAUCAUCAGUUAGAAAGGAGAAGGAAAAACUGAAAACAAUAGGAUCAUUGAGUCGCCCCAUUUACGCAAGAGAUGGACUCAUGUUUGAUAUUUUUUUCACUCUACCAUUCUCCUCUGCUACUUCUGUGAGUACUUCACUCAGAAAGAUAACAGACAAUUCCGAGAGGGAGACUUAAAAACUCUCUUUUUCCAUUAUCUGAUACAUUUUUCUCUCAAGCUUUCACAAUUUCUCAACAUUUUGUAAUUCCUCUUAGUCAAUUAUAUCAUGGGAGUAUUUUGUUUCCCUCUUAAUGCGUGAGAUUGGGGAACAUGGGAAAAAAAAAUAAUAAUUGUCGAGACUUUUUGUGUGUGAAUUAGAUCAUGAAUUUACCUGUUUACGGCGUCUAGGUGCAGCGAAUCACUCAUGAAGAAAUUGUUUAAUAUGCCUUGACGAUUAGAAGAAAAUCAAAUUAGUGGUUGAGUGGGUCUAAUUGUCAUCACAGCGGGCCCAAUAGUGUGAUGGAAAAGCAGUGAAAAUACUAAACUCACAAAAUAAAAUUCAAUUCAAUUGCUCGAAGUGCUGAACGAGAUGAUUCGAAUCAGGAGGUAAUUGUUUUUAUCUCAUCAUCACAUAUUGUAUAAUGAUCGUAUUUCCAAAGUUUGCGUCAUUAGUUGGAGCAUAUAUUUUUUGAAUAGAUUUAAAAUAUAUAUAAGUUCUAUUAGUGAUAUAGGGAUAAUUACCAUAAUUGGAAUAAAUGCAUAAUAUACUUGGAUGAAGGCACAACCCACUAACAUUUAAAUCUACUCAUCUAAUCCAUGUUCUCCUAUUUUGUUUUUUUUUCUAUAUAAAAAAAGUACAUAAAGUUU
Molecule: long non-coding RNA, 4946 nt
Organism: Fopius arisanus
Lineage: Eukaryota; Metazoa; Arthropoda; Insecta; Hymenoptera; Braconidae
Exons: 2
Source: RefSeq, a predicted model, not a curated record